CCUACGGGAGGCAGCAGUGAGGAAUAUUGGUCAAUGGGCGCGAGCCUGAACCAGCCAAGUCGCGUGAGGGAAGACGGUCCUAUGGAUUGUAAACCUCUUUUGUCGGGGAGCAAAAGACGCCACGCGUGGCGUUCCGAGAGGACCCGAAGAAAAAACAUCGGCUAACUCCGUGCCAGCAGCCGCGGUAAGACGGAGGAUGCGAGCGUUAUCCGGAUUUAUUGGGUUGAAAGGGUGCGGAGGCGGAAGGUUAAGUCAGCGGUAAAAUUGAGGGGCCCAACCUCUUCGAGCCGUUGAAACUGGUUUUCUUGAGUGCGAGAGAAGUAUGCGGAAUGCGUGGUGUAGCGGUGAAAUGCAUAGAUAUCACGCAGAACUCCGAUUGCGAAGGCAGCAUACCGGCGCUCAACUGACGCUGAUGCUCGAAAGUGUGGGUAUCGAACAGGAUUAGAUACCCUGGUAGUC
Molecule: ribosomal RNA, 459 nt
Filed under: uncultured bacterium
Lineage: Bacteria
Description: partial 16S ribosomal RNA
Rfam family: Bacterial small subunit ribosomal RNA
Source: RNAcentral